Non-coding RNA from Gymnothorax javanicus (giant moray), 72 nucleotides. Lineage: Eukaryota; Metazoa; Chordata; Actinopteri; Anguilliformes; Muraenidae. The record is from the annotation of a GenBank genome assembly.
AGCAUGGUGGUACAGUGGUUUGCAUUGCUGCCUCGCAAUAAGGAGGUUCCGGAUUCGAGUCGCGGCCGGCCA